CUGGCAUGGCCCUGUCAUGGCCUCGCCUGGCCUGGCCCAAGUUAAUGAAUCGUAACCCACUUGCACCAUAUGAAAAUUAAUUACCAAACUAGUUCGAAAAACUUUUCGCCACAGCAAAAGUUAAACGCACCGAAAAAAAGUUAAGGGAAGCCAAAGGCUGGGCCAACCAAUCAAUUUUCGUCUGCGACAAAUGGAAUGCUCCAAAUGGACCCAAAAAUCGUUAAUCAAAUUAAAAUUUAUUUCGUAUUUUGACGCAAACUGCAGUGCAGACAUGGUCCAGCAAAUUUAUCAUGGAAGCCAAUGUAAAAUCCAGCAGAUACUCGUACUAAUAUGUCCUUGUGUGUGUCUGUGUGUACGUGUCCGCAUAAUUUUGAUGGUUCGCUUCGAAGAGGUUUUUUUUGGUAAUUUCUCGUUUGCUUUUAGCGACCAGGCGGCGCAUAAAUUUGCAUCUCAAAUGGCUGUUUUGCGCUGCCGCUGCCGCUGUCUUUGCUGCUGCUGCUGCUGCUGUUGCUGCUGCUCCUCCUGUUGCUGCGCUGCCAGUGUUUGACCAGUGUUGCCAAAGUCCUUGUUGUGGCUGACGAUUUGCCAUUUUAAUUAGGCAAUGUCCUGUCAAAAGCAGGCUCUAACUCUGGCUCUGGUUAUGGGUUGAGAUAUACAGAUAGAGACUGUGAUUUGAC
Molecule: long non-coding RNA, 677 nt
Filed under: Drosophila guanche
Lineage: Eukaryota; Metazoa; Arthropoda; Insecta; Diptera; Drosophilidae
Source: RNAcentral